RNAcentral lists this ribosomal RNA (253 nucleotides) under uncultured bacterium. RNAcentral describes it as "partial 16S ribosomal RNA". It matches the Rfam family "Bacterial small subunit ribosomal RNA", at positions 524 to 776 of the family's 1533-position model. The record is from RNAcentral.
UACGUAGGGUGCGAGCGUUAAUCGGAAUUACUGGGCGUAAAGCGCGUGUAGGCGGUCCGGUAAGUCCGCUGUGAAAGUCGAGGGCUCAACCCUCGAAUGCCGGUGGAUACUGUCGGGCUUGAGUACGGGAGAGGCGAGUGGAAUUCCUGGUGUAGCGGUGAAAUGCGCAGAUAUCAGGAGGAACACCGAUUGCGAAGGCAGCUCGCUGGAACGUUACUGACGCUGAGACGCGAAAGCGUGGGGAGCAAACAGG